RNAcentral lists this ribosomal RNA (409 nucleotides) under uncultured bacterium. Its description in RNAcentral is "bacterial SSU rRNA". It matches the Rfam family "Bacterial small subunit ribosomal RNA", at positions 30 to 427 of the family's 1533-position model. The record is from RNAcentral.
AUUGAACGCUGGCGGCAUGCCUUACACAUGCAAGUCGAACGGCAGCACGGGAGCUUGCUCCUGGUGGCGAGUGGCGAACGGGUGAGUAAUACAUCGGAACGUACCCUGAAGUGGGGGAUAACGUAGCGAAAGUUACGCUAAUACCGCAUAUUCUGUGAGCAGGAAAGAGGGGGAUCGCAAGACCUCUUGCUUUAGGAGCGGCCAAUGUCGGAUUAGCUAGUUGGUGAGGUAAAGGCUCACCAAGGCGACGAUCCGUAGCGGGUCUGAGAGGAUGAUCCGCCACACUGGGACUGAGACACGGCCCAGACUCCUACGGGAGGCAGCAGUGGGGAAUUUUGGACGAAAUAGGGCGGCAAGACCUGUAUCCACGCCACUGCCGCCGUGAGUAGAAGAAGGACCUCGUGUAGUA